This 69-nucleotide transfer RNA is filed under the name marine sediment metagenome. RNAcentral's name for it is "tRNA-OTHER". It matches the Rfam family "tRNA". From Rfam's summary of the family: Transfer RNA (tRNA) molecules are approximately 80 nucleotides in length. Their secondary structure includes four short double-helical elements and three loops (D, anti-codon, and T loops). The record is from RNAcentral.
GAAGCGGUAAGCUCAGUCUGGUAGAGCUUGGCGGCAGCCAGGUCGGGGGUUCGAAUCCUUCCCAAUUCC